GACAGAACUGAAGAGGACCUCCAACAGUUAUGGGGUCUAGUUCCCCGCAAGACUUCAGCAAUUCUAAACCACCUCACACAUAUUACUGUCUGAUCCAAGAUUUAGGCUGCUUCAAGUUGAAAGAGUCAAAACACACUUAACGAUGCUUACAUUGGGAAGUUCUUUCUUGAGACCAACUUAAGCUAACCAGCAAAUGAUGUGAAGGUGCUGCACAAACAGUUGGCAGGGUGUGAGCUGGAACAAAUGGAUGUUCCCAUUGGCACUGGUCUGGACGACAUCCUUGAGACGAUCAGAAUUCAGUGGGAGAGAGAUGUUGAAAAGAACCGGGUGGAGGCAGGAGCCCUGCUCCAAGCUAAGCAACAGGCGGAGGUGGCCCACAUGUCCCAGACCCAGGAGGAGAAGCUGGCAGCUGCCCUCAGGGUGGAGUUACACAACACUUCGUGCCAAGUCCAGAGCCUCCAGGCUGAGACAGAAUCCUUACGUGCCCUGAAACGAGGCCUGGAGAACACCUUGCACGAUGCCAAGCACUGGCAUGACAUGGAGCUCCAGAACCUGGGCGCUGUGGUCGGCCGGCUGGAGGCGGAGCUCAGCGAAAUCCGCGCGGAGGCGGAGCAGCAGCAACAGGAGCGCGCACAUCUGCUGGCCCGCAAGUGCCAGCUG
This 660-nucleotide small RNA is filed under the name Pongo abelii (Sumatran orangutan). Its description in RNAcentral is "processed transcript". The record is from RNAcentral. Lineage: Eukaryota; Metazoa; Chordata; Mammalia; Primates; Hominidae.